RNAcentral lists this ribosomal RNA (204 nucleotides) under uncultured Spirochaeta sp. RNAcentral's name for it is "partial 16S ribosomal RNA". It matches the Rfam family "Bacterial small subunit ribosomal RNA", at positions 1179 to 1382 of the family's 1533-position model. The record is from RNAcentral. Lineage: Bacteria; Pseudomonadati; Spirochaetota; Spirochaetia; Spirochaetales; Spirochaetaceae.
ACGACGUCAAGUCAUCAUGGCCCUUAUGUCCUGGGCUACACACGUGCUACAAUGGCCGGUACAGAGCGCAGCGAAGCCGCGAGGCAAAGCGAAUCGCAAAAAGCCGGUCUCAGUACGGAUUGGAGUCUGAAACCCGACUCCAUGAAGUUGGAAUCGCUAGUAAUCGCGCAUCAGCAUGGCGCGGUGAAUACGUUCCCGGGCCUU